UACGGAGGGUGCGAGCGUUAUUCGGAAUUACUGGGCGUAAAGCGCGUGUAGGCGGCAGGGCAAGUCUGGUGUGAAAGCCCGGGGCUCAACCCCGGAAGUGCAUUGGAAACUGCUCUGCUUGAGUACCGGAGAGGAAGGGGGAAUUCCCGGUGUAGCGGUGAAAUGCGUAGAUAUCGGGAGGAAUACCAGUGGCGAAGGCGCCCUUCUGGACGGUUACUGACGCUGAGACGCGAAAGCGUGGGGAGCGAACAUG
RNAcentral lists this ribosomal RNA (253 nucleotides) under uncultured microorganism. RNAcentral describes it as "partial 16S ribosomal RNA". It matches the Rfam family "Bacterial small subunit ribosomal RNA", at positions 524 to 776 of the family's 1533-position model. The record is from RNAcentral.